UACGUAGGGGGCUAGCGUUGUCCGGAAUCAUUGGGCGUAAAGAGCGUGUAGGCGGCUCAGUAAGUCCGCUGUGAAAGUCCAGGGCUCAACCCUGGAAUGCCAGUGGAAACUGUUGAGCUAGAGUCCGGAAGAGGCGAGUGGAAUUCCUGGUGUAGCGGUGAAAUGCGCAGAUAUCAGGAGGAACACCAAUGGCGAAGGCAGCUCGCUGGGACGGUACUGACGCUGAGACGCGAAAGCGUGGGGGAGCAAACAGG
Molecule: ribosomal RNA, 254 nt
Filed under: uncultured bacterium
Lineage: Bacteria
Description: partial 16S ribosomal RNA
Rfam family: Bacterial small subunit ribosomal RNA
Source: RNAcentral